GACGAACGCUGGCGGCGUGCUUAACACAUGCAAGUCGAACGGAAAGGCCCUGCUUUUGUGCGGUGCUCGAGUGGCGAACGGGUGAGUAACACGUGAGUAACCUGCCCUUGACUUUGGGAUAACUUCAGGAAACUGGGUCUAAUACCGGAUAGGAGCUCCUGCUGCAUGGUGGGGGUUGGAAAGUUUCGGCGGUUGGGGAUGGACUCGCGGCUUAUCAGCUUGUUGGUGGGGUAGUGGCUUACCAAGGCCUUGACGGGUAGCCGGCCUGAGAGGGUGACCGGCCACAUUGGGACUGAGAUAGGGACCAGACUCCUACGGGAGGCAGCAGUGGGGAAUAUUGAACAAUGGGCGGAAGCCUGAUGCAGCAACGCCGCGUGCGGGAUGACGGCCUUCGGGUUGUAAACCGCUUUCGCCUGUGACGAAGCGUGAGUGACGGUAAUGGGUAAAGAAGCACCGGCUAACUACGUG
RNAcentral lists this ribosomal RNA (468 nucleotides) under uncultured bacterium. Its description in RNAcentral is "partial 16S ribosomal RNA". It matches the Rfam family "Bacterial small subunit ribosomal RNA", at positions 28 to 507 of the family's 1533-position model. The record is from RNAcentral.